GAAGAGGAAGAGGAAGAAGAGGAAGAAGAAGAAGAGGAGGAACAAGAGGAAGAAGAGGAAGAAGAAGAAGAGGAGGAACAAGAAGAAGAGGAGGAAGAAGAAGAAGAGGAGGAAGAAGAGGCUCUGAGUGACAGAUCUGGGUCACAGACGCAUGAGGAACAAUCAGAGCUGAGAGGUUGUGUUGUUGUGAAAGUCACAAGUACUAUACGUAAAUAUCGAAGUACUACUCCCUCACCAAGCAGUACUACUAAUUUUUAUUCUCACAUGCACAGAAAUAUGUAUUUGCAGUUGUGAGGUACUUGUUGUACUUGUACUGAGCCUGACGCGUGUUUUAUGUGUUUGGAAAGCAGCUAGCGUGGCUAUGCUAAGCUAGCUGCUCGUGUGGUGUUUUAUGUGUUUGGAAAGCAGCUAGCGUGGCUAUGCUAAGCUAGCUGCUUGUAUGGUGUUUUAUUAAAACGGUCCAUCGUCUUUAGAAUGAAGCCCCGCUGCUCCUGAAAGACGCACUCUAGCUUUGUGUUAGCACGAGGCUAAGCCUCUGUUAGCCUUAGAGAAGCUAACUUAGCAGGUCUGUGUCUUGACUGACCUCAGGUCUGUUUCACAGACUGUUAUAUUCAAGUUGUUCUGCUAUAACAAACCACCAAUAUCUUUGGUUUUAUAUUAAAUUGAAUUAGAUGUUGAACUGUUACUGCUGUUAAAAAGCACUUUAUUUUAGUGUUUGCAUAAAUAAAAGUGUGCAAUACACUGCUUUUGAAUUCAUUAUUAAAUUAAAAAUUGCUCUCUUAUUUCAUUUGGCAGUAGUUUAUUCUUAGACACUUGUUAUUUAAAUAUACAUUUAAUGAGAAUAACGGCUUUAAUUGUUAAAUAACUUUACCUAAAUAUAACCCUGAUAAUUACAGGUUGUUUGUUGAUAAUAACUAAGUAAUAUAGAGAAGUCAGAGUUUCACCCCUGAACGUGAAAUGAAGAGGAGCAGCUGAUGGGGGAGAGAUGGAGGCAGGGGGAGAGAUGGAGGGGAGAGAUGGAGGCAGGGGGAGAGAUGGAGGGGAGAGAUGGAGGGGGAGAGAUGGAGGCAGGGGAGAGAUGGAGGGGAGAGAUGGAGGCAGGGGGGAGAGAUGGAGGGGGAGAGAUGGAGGCAGGGGGAGAGAUGGAGACACAGAGGGAGAAAGGGAGGAACUACUUUCUGCCUCCGCUGCCAGCUGACUGCAAACUACAAGUUCCCAGCGAGUUGUGGGUGUCCGGGCGCUGCCGUCAGCAAAGUGUCGGUUGAAGUAAACAAAAUGGAGGACUAGCUUAAUGCUAAAGUGGGAGACGUGAAUAAAGAGCUCCAUGGCGACGUUCAAAGAACCGUAAUGCGCCCCCACCCCUCCGCCUCUGUCCAUGGUGCUACCGUUACUACCCUCUGAUCCGCCCGGCACAAUGUCGACUUGUGUCUUCGCUCACAACAAAGAACACGCACACACAUUGCCGCCAUUUUGUUCACGUUGUAGUAAUUUGUGCGGUAAAAGUGAGGAGAAGUUGUUCGAGUUGACGACACAUUCAAUCACCAGCUGCCAUCUCUGCUCGCUCAUCAACUUUCCGAUCACAUCCUCCUCCCCCUCCUCCCGACGCCGGGCUCCCGUUGGUUCCCCGCGCUGCCCCUCAAUCAUCGCAGCUCUUGAUUGGCUCGGCUGGGACCAAUAGCGGCACGCCUGUGGGUAAAGGGGCGGGAGGAGGAGGCGGGGGUCAGAGUGACAGACAGGGCGAAAGAGGCUGGAUAUCUGGGAAGAAAACGGCCACAUUUGGCCUCUUUGUGUUCAGAGACGUUGAACUGAAGCUUCAUUUGUUUGGACAUAUUUAAUCUUCCUCACUUUGUCCACGUCUGUCUCAAUUAGUUGGGAUGUGGAAGCUGCUGCC
Molecule: long non-coding RNA, 1891 nt
Organism: Gasterosteus aculeatus aculeatus (three-spined stickleback)
Lineage: Eukaryota; Metazoa; Chordata; Actinopteri; Perciformes; Gasterosteidae
Source: Ensembl